Molecule: ribosomal RNA, 440 nt
Filed under: uncultured bacterium
Lineage: Bacteria
Description: partial 16S ribosomal RNA
Rfam family: Bacterial small subunit ribosomal RNA
Source: RNAcentral
CCUACGGGAGGCAGCAGUGGGGGAUAUUGCACAAUGGGGGGAACCCUGAUGCAGCGACGCCGCGUGGGUGAAGUAGCGCCUCGGCGCGUAAAGUCCUGUCAGCAGGGGAGAAAAUGACGGUACCUGAAGCAGAAGCCCCGGCUAACUACGUGCCAGCUGCCGCGGUAAUACGUAGGGGGCCAGCGUUAUCCGGAUUUACUGGGUGUAAAGGGGGCGCAGACGGCGAUGCAAGCCAGGAGUGAAAGCCCGGGGCCCAACCCCGGGACUGCUAUUGGAACUGCGUGGCUGUAGUGCAGGAGGGGCAGGCGGAAUUCCUGGUGUAGCGGUGAAAUGCGUAGAUAUCAGGAGGAACACCGGUGGCGAAGGCGGCCUGCUGGACUGCAACUGACGUUGAGGCCCGAAAGCGUGGGGAGCAAACAGGAUUAGAUACCCGAGUAGUC